This 2904-nucleotide ribosomal RNA is filed under the name Aerococcus mictus. RNAcentral's name for it is "23S ribosomal RNA". It matches the Rfam family "Bacterial large subunit ribosomal RNA". The record is from RNAcentral. Lineage: Bacteria; Bacillati; Bacillota; Bacilli; Lactobacillales; Aerococcaceae.
GGUUAAGUGAAUAAGGGCGUACGGUGAAUGCCUUGGCACUAGGAGCCGAUGAAGGACGGGACGAACACCGAUAUGCUUCGGGGAGCUGUAAGUAAGCUUUGAUCCGGAGAUUUCCGAAUGGGGGAACCUCAUUGUUUUUAUCGACAAUGGUCCACUCAGUGAACACAUAGCUGAGUGGAAGGUAGACGUGGUGAACUGAAACAUCUCAGUAGCCACAGGAAGAGAAAGAAAAAUCGAUUUCCCGAGUAGCGGCGAGCGAAACGGAAAGAGGCCAAACCAGCGUGCUUGCAUGCUGGGGUUGUAGGACUGAUGGACGGGAGUGAAUGAGCUAGUCGAACGCCAUGGAAAGGGCGAUCAGAGAGGGUGACAAUCCCGUAGGCGAAAGCUCAGCCACCUCAUUCAGUAUCCUGAGUACGGCGGUACACGUGAAAUUCCGUCGGAAUCCGCCAGGACCAUCUGGCAAGCCUAAAUACUCCCUAGUGACCGAUAGUGAACCAGUACCGUGAGGGAAAGGUGAAAAGCACCCCGGAAGGGGAGUGAAAGAGUACCUGAAACCGUAUGCCUACAAGCAGUCAGAGCCCGUUAAGGGGUGAUGGCGUACUUUUUGUAGAACGGACCGGCGAGUGACGAUAGCAAGCAAGGUUAAGCUGAAGAAGCGGAGCCACAGCGAAAGCGAGUCUGAAGAGGGCGUUGAGUUUGUUGUCGUCGACCCGAAACCAAGUGAUCUACUCAUGUCCAGGCUGAAGGUGUGGUAAAACACACUGGAGGGCCGAACCCACGUCUGUUGAAAAAGGCGGGGAUGAGGUGUGGGUAGCGGUGAAAUUCCAAUCGAACUUGGAGAUAGCUGGUUCUCUCCGAAAUAGCUUUAGGGCUAGCCUCGGAUGAUGACUAUUGGAGGUAGAGCACUGUUUGAUCGAGGGGUCCAUCCUGGAUUACCGACAUCUGAUAAACUCCGAAUGCCAAAUAGUUUAGUCCGGGAGUCAGACUGCGAGUGAUAAGAUCCGUAGUCGAAAGGGAAAGAGCCCAGACCACCAGCUAAGGUCCCAAAGUUUCAGUUAAGUGGAAAAGGAUGUGGGGUUGCUUAGACAACUAGGAUGUUGGCUUAGAAGCAGCCAUCAUUGAAAGAGUGCGUAAUAGCUCACUAGUCGAGUGACCCUGCGCCGAAAAUGUACCGGGGCUAAACUGAACACCGAAGCUGUGGAUCCAUAGGAUGGUAGGAGAGCGUUCUAUAGGCAGAGAAGCAUGAUCGUGAGGACAUGUGGAGCGUAUAGAAGUGAGAAUGCCGGUAUGAGUAGCGAAAGACGGGUGAGAAUCCCGUCCACCGAAUGACUAAGGUUUCCUGGGGAAGGCUCGUCCUCCCAGGGUUAGUCGGGACCUAAGCCGAGACCGAAAGGGAUAGGCGAUGGACAACAGGUUGAGAUUCCUGUACUUGUUUGAUUUGUUUGAGCGAUGGAAGGACACAGAAGGCUAAGCGGAGCGCGGAGAUGGAAAAACGCGUCCAAGCAAUAAGUGAGAAGGUGAGUGAAAGGCUUGCCUCAGACUUCAUGAGUUGUGACGGGGAGGGAAAUUUAGUACCGAAGCCGCCGACGUCACGCUGUCAAGAAAAGUUUCUAGUGAGAAUCAAACAACCCGUACCGCAAACCGACACAGGUAGUCGAGUGGAGAACACUAAGGUGAGCGAGCGAACUCUCGUUAAGGAACUCGGCAAAAUGACCCCGUAACUUCGGGAGAAGGGGUGCUGACCGCAAGGUCAGCCGCAGUGAAUAGGCCCAAGCGACUGUUUAUCAAAAACAUAGGUCUCUGCCAAAUCGAAAGAUGAUGUAUAGAGGCUGACGCCUGCCCGGUGCUGGAAGGUUAAGAGGAAGGGUUAGCGUAAGCGAAGCUCUGAAUUGAAGCCCCAGUAAACGGCGGCCGUAACUAUAACGGUCCUAAGGUAGCGAAAUUCCUUGUCAGGUAAGUUCUGACCCGCACGAAAGGCGUAACGAUUUGGGCACUGUCUCAACGAGAAGCUCGGUGAAAUUGUAGUACCAGUGAAGAUGCUGGUUACCCGCGACAGGACGGAAAGACCCCAUGGAGCUUUACUGUAGGUUGAUAUUGAAUGUUUGUGCCACAUGUACAGGAUAGGUAGGAGCCAUCGAAGUCGGGACGCUAGUCUCGAUGGAGGCACUGGUGGGAUACUACCCUUGUGGGAUGACCAUUCUAACCCGCGACCAUUAGCUGGUCGGGAGACAGUGUCAGUCAGGCAGUUUGACUGGGGCGGUCGCCUCCUAAAGUGUAACGGAGGCGCCCAAAGGUUCCCUCAGAAUGGUUGGAAAUCAUUCGCAGAGUGUAAAGGCAGAAGGGAGCUUGACUGCGAGACCUACAAGUCGAGCAGGGACGAAAGUCGGGCUUAGUGAUCCGGUGGUUCCGCAUGGAAGGGCCAUCGCUCAACGGAUAAAAGCUACCCUGGGGAUAACAGGCUUAUCUCCCCCAAGAGUUCACAUCGACGGGGAGGUUUGGCACCUCGAUGUCGGCUCAUCGCAUCCUGGGGCUGAAGUCGGUCCCAAGGGUUGGGCUGUUCGCCCAUUAAAGCGGUACGCGAGCUGGGUUCAGAACGUCGUGAGACAGUUCGGUCCCUAUCCGUCGCGGGCGUUGGAAAUUUGAGAGGAGCUGUCCUUAGUACGAGAGGACCGGGAUGGACACACCGCUGGUGUACCAGUUGUUCCACCAGGAGCAUGGCUGGGUAGCUAUGUGUGGACGGGAUAAGCGCUGAAAGCAUCUAAGCGUGAAGCCCCCCUCAAGAUGAGAUUUCCCAUACUUUUAAAGUAGUAAGACCCCUGAAAGACGAUCAGGUUGAUAGGUUUGGAGUGGAAGCUUAGCAAUAAGUGGAGCGGACAAAUACUAAUCGGUCGAGGACUUAUCCAA